Cryptomeria japonica (Japanese cedar) is the source of this 1829-nucleotide long non-coding RNA. RefSeq lists it as uncharacterized. Lineage: Eukaryota; Viridiplantae; Streptophyta; Pinopsida; Cupressales; Cupressaceae. The transcript is spliced from 2 exons. The record is from RefSeq and is a predicted model, not a curated record.
GAAUCGAUUUCUUCCUUAGUUUAUUGUUUCCUUCAACAUCUUUAGAAUUCAGUGCAGGGUACAGAUGAAUUUUCUGUUCAUUGAUUUAUUUUUACUUGAUUUAUGGCUUAUUCGUUGCUUGGCGAUUAUUAAUCUGUUUCUUUUCUGGAUCAAAAUCUGUGAAGUCAAUUUGUUUUACUGUGCAGUUUAUAUCUAGUAGAUUUGCGGUUUUCUUGCUCUUCUGGAUCUGAUUAACGAGCAGCAGAGACGAGAAUAUUAAACCUUCUUUUGUUUUUUGGGGAGAUCUUCAUGUCUUACAUUUAUUUUGAAGGAUUCGCUUCUGUGGGGAAGGUCUUAUCAAUGAAAGUUUGCCUAUUUUUUAAGAUGAAAAAUUCAGCCAGGCUGCCAACCAAUUGCCUUCCUCUUUUUACUAGAUAAAUUGGUCAGCACUAGAUAAAGCAACCCCCUCAUUUUUUUCAGUUUUUUAAAGAAUGGAUACAUACGCAAUUGUUUGAGGUUUAGUAUAACUGUCCGAGAAUGUAAAGAUCUAAAAUAGGGAAUUCAAACUUGUACCUCACAUUAAUGAAUCAGUAGAACAGUGAACAGAACCUGUGUUCUGCUUAGUAGGGGUUGCUCAGAGAGUUUUAGAAAAUUAUGCAGUGAAACAAUUCCAGCAGAAGCAUUGAGCAUCUCUCUGCUGCUGCUUUUAGUGUUCUAUAUGUCAAUUUACCAGUAAGUUAUAUUUACCCUGCAAAACAAUUGCAAUUUGUCAGAUCUCCAUCCUCAAAUUCAUGAGCAACAAUUGCAAACUUGUGGCUCCUGGAACCAGCUAGAAUAAGGUUUCCUAAAACAAGAUCUGCUCCUAAUUUCCCACGAACGAUUUUAAAAUUUGCAGUAGCUCAAUAAUUUUUUUUCCUUUGGGAGAUUACCUGCAAGAUUGCAGCAUCAAUCGAACCCCGAGGGCGGAUCCAACCAGAUUUGAACCUGGGUAAUGAACCCAGAGGUCAGAUUCCUAUCUCACACCCACUAGAUUGCAAGCGGUCCCCUCAGCCCGUGAGGGGGUUUACCCUGCUCAAUUGGACUGUUGGCUGAAAAUAGCUUUAAGUGCUGCCUAUGCUCUGGGUUUUUCUGAUAUUCAGCUACAAUUUUCAUAAUAUGGUGAUAAUCUUUAUAAAAAUGUAUUUGAAUGAGGUAAAUCUUCAAUUGGACCUAGGGUUUGUAGAUUAAUUGUUUGGAUUUUUUUUACCAUGGCGAUUUUAAUGGUUCUAUAUAUAUGCAUGCUUCAGAUUGUUUCUACUUUCUAGAGCUUGGGUUGGUUUUGAACAGGUGAUUCAGUGUAUUACAGUUCCUUACCGUUAGACCCAAUUUGUAGAUUACAGAUUCACAAAUAUGAUUUCCUAAAGUUUGAAUGUAUUGUAACUUAUAAGUUAAUCGAAUGAUACCUAGUUUUGUUUCUCUGAACAAGUGACCUACAAUAGUACAGAUUCUUGACGCAUAUUGGCAACCUUUAAAUGUAUUAGUUCCUUUUUCAUCUAGUUGUUAGGAAGCAAGAUCCUUUGGCUAGUAAAUUGUACAACACAGCAAAUUUAAGAUUUUCAUUUUCGAGAACAGGCCUUAGAUAAUGAUAGCACCCUUGAAAUUAUAGUUUUUUAGAUCUAUUAAUGUGUAUCAUUUCGUAAGCACCAUGGCCCAACAGGUGCACAAAGUCGCGAGCCUGAUCCAGUGGAGGCCUGAGCCUGGGUGGAUGUAAUAACAGUGCCACCUGUGACAAUUGCAUGAUGCCCUCAACAGUUGUAUUUUUCAAAUUUUAUUGCUUAUAUGGCAUGAGUUUAAGCUCAACUUAAAUUUUU